UCACGUGGCAAUGCCCAACCACAGUGGAGCCAGAAGAUACACUCCUCCCAAAGGGGGCACAAUGAACCCACAGCAACAGGAAGAGAUGUACAGUCCUCUUAUAGGCAAGCUGCAAAUAACUGGGAACAAUAAGAUCAUCUACCACAAGAAAUCUUUAAUAAUUUCCAAAAAAUUCUUUUCAUUUGAGUCUGUUUAAUUAAUGUGAGAUCAAUUACAGUUUAUCUUACAAUAACCAUAUUUUAGAUUUUAUCUUCCUUCAAGAUUCUAAUGUUGUCCCAAACCUCAGCUUACAUCUGAUGGUAGGCUGUUCUCAAGAUGGACAGCUGCAUAUAUUUUAUUCUAGUUUCUAUUUCCAAAAGAUACAUUUUCUCAUGUUGUCCCCAAAUUCUUGGACCUAAGGCCCCUCAACUCUAACUGACAUUAGUUUAGGAAAGAGAAGGUGAGGAGAAAGGGACUAAAGGUCAGUGUCCUACUCUCUGCCUGGUUGCUGAGUGAGUGAAUGAGCAAAUUAAUGGGCUAUGGCAACUACUGACUGUGUCCCUGGAGGGCCCGAUGAUCAGAAGUGUCAGGCUUUGACUUCAGCAGGAAGAAAUGGUGGUCAGUGUUUGAACAAACUUCCUGGUUUGAAGGAGUUUGGGGGCUGUGGCAGACAGACUCUUAAGGAGGCCUACAUGAUUUUGCCUCCUGGUGUUCACAUCCUUGUGUGAUCCCCACCCCUUGAAUGUGGGUCCUGUGACUUGCUUCUAACCAGUAGAACCUGACAAAUGUGACAGUGAUUGUGUGUACGUGAUGACAUGAUUAUAUCACACGAGAUUGUAACACUUGCCUUGCUGGCAUCUCUCACUCUCUUGCUGGCUUUGAAGAAGCAAGCUGCCAUGUUGUGGCUGCCUUUGUUGGAAGGUGAUGUGGCAAGGAACUGAGGACGGCCUCUAGGAGCUGAGGAUGGACUCCAGCUGACAGCCAGCAAGACACAGAAGCCUUCCAUCCUAAAGCUGUAAGGAACGGAAUCCUGCUAACAAAAGUGAUCCUUCCCCAGACGAGCCUCAGAUGAGGUGGAGCCCCGACCGACACCUUGAUUGCAGCCUUGUGAGACCCUACGCAGAGGACCCAGUCUGUGCCCAGACUCCUGACCCACAGAAACUGAGGUAGAAUCCAGGUGAGGUCCUCUGCUCAGGGAUUCGCAAGGCUGAAGUCAAGGUGUUGGCCAGUCUGCGUUCUCAUCUGGACGCUCGGGGGAAGAAUGUGCUUCCAACUUCAUUCAGGUGCUGGCAGAAUUCAGCUCCCAGCAGCUGUGUGAUUCAGGUCCCCGUUUUCUUGCUGGCUGUUGGAUGGGACUGCUUUUGGCUCCUAGAGGGUGCUCCCAGCUCCUCACCAUGUGGCCACCUCCACUGGCCGUUCGCAACAUGGCAGUUCACUCUUUAAGGCCAGCAAGAGAAUCUCUUUCCCUGUCAGCUGAAAUGAAGUCUUAUAUAACCUAAUCAUGACAUUAACAAACCCCCACCUUUGUCUUAUUAUGUAACCUCAUCACAGGAAUGGCACUCUAUCAUAUUCACAGGUCCUGUCCACUCUCAAGAGGAAGGAAUUACAUAGGAUGUGUAUACCAGCGGGCAGAACUCUGGGGGGCCAUCUUAGAAUUCUGCCUACCACGGGGCUGUGGGAUUAAAUAAGAUACUGUGUGUAAAACGCUUAGCUCAGUGCCUGGCCCAGAGAAAGACGCAAUAAGUGGUAGUCAUAGUCACCACCAUCAAUACGCAUAGUAGACAAAAUAAUGGCCCCCCAAAGAUGUCCUUGGAAUCUGUCAAUAUGUUAUGCUACGUGGCAAAGAAAAUGAAGGCUGCAGACGGAAUCAAGCUGGCUAAUCAGCUGACCUUAAAAUCGGGAAAUCAUCCUGGAUUUGCUCCUUAUGGAACCACAAGGGUCCUUCAAAGUGGAAGAGUGAGGCAGAAGAAGAGUCAGAACCAGAGAGAUGGCAGCAUGAAAAGACUUGGCCCAACGUUGCUGGCUUUCAAAAUGGAAGAAGAGGACCACGAGCCAAGGAAUGUGGGCGGCAAGGAAUGUGGCCAAGCUGGAAGGGGAGAGGAAUAGAUUUUCCCCUGGAGCCUCCAGGAAAGAAUGCAAGCCUGCUGUCACCUUGACUGUAGCCCGGCGAGACCUGUUUCAGACUUUGGACGUCCAGAACUGUAAGAUAAUAAAUGUGUGUUGUUUUAAGCCACUGCAUUUGUAGUAAUUUGUUCCAGCAUCCAUAGGAAACUAAUACAAUGUUAUGUGUUUUAUCAGGGCUACAGAAAAAGAUUAAAAUGACAGAGUUCAGGGUGCAUAUUGAUUCAUUGGCCAUUUAUAAAAGCCGGUUGAGAAACUGUGAAGUGGAGAAUCUGAAAUGGAGUAGGUGACAGUCUUCCUAUGGCCACUUUGCUCGGUCUGGGUGUAUGUGGUGUGAGGCCUAUGGAGGACGAAGACAGAGCAGAGCACUUCCAAAGGAGACUGACAUGAACGGAGGAGAAACUAGAGCUGAAAAGACAGUGGUGAUGUGCGGAUUGGAUGGGGUUGUUGGGAAAUAGUUGAUGAACUGUCUUUGGAAGAGAACUUAGAAAAGUUGUGCACAGUCCCGAGGGGAGAUGUACUGGGCGGAAGCUACCGGAACUCAGCGCUCAGCUCAGUAUGAGUAAUUGCUUUCUGGAAGUGAUGAUUGUAUCAGUUAGGAACAACAGAUCAGAACUAACAGUGGCUUAAGCAAGAGAGAAGUGUCUUUUCUGUCAUGGUAAAUGCCUUCUGGAGGUGAGAAGUCCAGGACUGGUUUGAAGGUACCAUGAUGUUAGGGAUCCAGGCUCCUUGAUGCGCCUUCUCCCCUAGGUUGAUGCCCUCACCCACACGGUCCAAGGCUGAGAAACAUCACAUCCAUAUUCCCAGAAGCAGGAAGGCGGAAGGGCACGGCCUUUAAGUUCACAUCCCAGAAGUUGCGUCCAUCACUUUUGCUCUCAUCUCAAUGACAAGAACAUGGGCAUAUGGCCUCCUGGCUGCAUAGGAAACUCAUUGUGGGUGGCCACGCAACUUGGCAAAAAGUUGGAGGUUUCUAUCACCAUGGAAAAGGAGGGAAAAAUUGAUUUGGGGGUUGGGGGGGGCAAGACCAACAAGCUCUGCAUAGUGAUGGCUGGGUUAUUUUGGAGGUAGGAUUUUGCUCUCUGUGCUGGACCCUCCCUGUUUUGACACUCCAAUAGCACCCUGAUUCCCCUUUUCAGAAAGAACCUCUCUCCCGUGGAAGUCUGAAGGGACUGUCAGUGGAGGUGCUGCUCUCCCAUAGCCAAGAGCUCCAGCAUUCAUUCUAACUCCAGCCUCAGGGAGAGACUGAUUCCUCUUACUCCUCGAACUGCCUAGUACCUGCCAUUUUUCAGACCAGUUCUCAAACCUUUCCUUGUCUGUCCAAACAUUUCCCUUCUGCUUUGAUCAAUUAGAGGGGAUUUCUUUUGCUUGCAACCUAUCACUCCUUACAGAUACACUCUCCCCGGAGUCUUGCAGCAGAAGCUUGCAACAUCUUGGCAGAACUGGAAGCAAUCCUGUUGUAGGGCAGUGCAUGUUUUACUAUUGCACUGGACAGUCAGAAAGCAAAACACCCACCAAAUGAAAUGAUUUUGCAAAGAUUUACAUUGCCAUCACUAAGUCACUCAGAG
This 3665-nucleotide long non-coding RNA is filed under the name Equus caballus (horse). RNAcentral describes it as "lncRNA (ENSECAG00000046863.1)". The record is from RNAcentral. Lineage: Eukaryota; Metazoa; Chordata; Mammalia; Perissodactyla; Equidae.